UUACUGGGCGUAACGCGCGCGUAGGUGGUCUGUUAAGUCGAUGUGAAAGCCCCGGGCUCAACCUGGGAACUGCAUUCGAUACUGGCAGACUAGAGUGCGAGAGAGGGAGGUAGAAUUCCGAGUGUAGAGGUGAAAUUCGUAGAUAUUCGGAGGAACACCAGUGGCGAAGGCGGCUUACUGGCUCGAUACUGACGCUGAGGUGCGAAAGUGUGGGGAGCAAACAGGAUUAGAUACCCUGGUAGUCCACACCGUAAACGCUGUCUACUAGCUGUUUGUGGAUUUAAUCCGUGAGUAGCGAAGCUAACGCGAUAAGUAGACCGCCUGGGGAGUACGGCCGCAAGGUUAAAACUCAAAUGAAUUGACGGGGGCCCGCACAAGCGGUGGAGCAUGUGGUUUAAUUCGACGCAACGCGAAGAACCUUACCUGGUCUUGACAUCCUGCGAACUUUCUAGAGAUAGAUUGGUGCCUUCGGGAACGCAGUGACAGGUGCUGCAUGGCU
This 499-nucleotide ribosomal RNA is filed under the name uncultured Pseudomonadota bacterium. Its description in RNAcentral is "bacterial SSU rRNA". It matches the Rfam family "Bacterial small subunit ribosomal RNA", at positions 551 to 1050 of the family's 1533-position model. Lineage: Bacteria; Pseudomonadati; Pseudomonadota. The record is from RNAcentral.